This 459-nucleotide ribosomal RNA is filed under the name uncultured bacterium. RNAcentral's name for it is "partial 16S ribosomal RNA". It matches the Rfam family "Bacterial small subunit ribosomal RNA", at positions 338 to 795 of the family's 1533-position model. The record is from RNAcentral.
CCUACGGGAGGCAGCAGUGAGGAAUAUUGGUCAAUGGCCGGAAGGCUGAACCAGCCAAGCCGCGUGAAGGACGAAUGUGCCAAGCAUUGUAAACUUCUUUUGUCAAGGGACAAAAUCAGGCUCGAGAGCCUGACCGAGGGUACUUGAAGAAAAAGCAUCGGCUAACUCCGUGCCAGCAGCCGCGGUAAUACGGAGGAUGCGAGCGUUAUCCGGAUUUAUUGGGUUUAAAGGGUGCGUAGGCGGACUGUUAAGUCAGCGGUAAAAGCCCGGGGCUAAACCCCGGCGAGCCGUUGAAACUGGCAGUCUUGAGAUGUCGAGAGGUAUGCGGAAUGCGCAGUGUAGCGGUGAAAUGCUUAGAUAUUGCGCAGAACUCCGAUUGCGAAGGCAGCAUACCGGCGGCGAUCUGACGCUGAGGCACGAAAGCGUGGGUAUCGAACAGGAUUAGAUACCCGAGUAGUC